UACGUAGGGGGCAAGCGUUGUCCGGAUUUAUUGGGCGUAAAGAGCUCGUAGGCGGUUUGUCGCGUCUGCUGUGAAAACCUAAGGCUCAACCUUGGGCUUGCAGUGGGUACGGGCAGACUAGAGUGCGGUAGGGGUGACUGGAAUUCCUGGUGUAGCGGUGGAAUGCGCAGAUAUCAGGAGGAACACCGAUGGCGAAGGCAGGUCACUGGGACGCAACUGACGCUGAGGAGCGAAAGCAUGGGGAGCGAACAGG
This 253-nucleotide ribosomal RNA is filed under the name uncultured bacterium. RNAcentral's name for it is "partial 16S ribosomal RNA". It matches the Rfam family "Bacterial small subunit ribosomal RNA", at positions 524 to 776 of the family's 1533-position model. The record is from RNAcentral.